UACGAACGCUGGCGGCGUGCCUAAUACAUGCAAGUCGAGCGGAAUGAUGAAGAAGCUUGCUUCUUCUGAUUUUAGCGGCGGACGGGUGAGUAACUCGUGGGCAACCUACCUUGUAGAUUGGGAUAACUCCGGGAAACCGGGCUAAUACCGAAUAAUCCAUUUUGCUUCAUGGCGAGAUGUUAAAAGGCGGCUUCGGCUGUCACUACGAGAUGGGCCCGCGGCGCAUUAGCUAGUUGGUAGGGUAAUAGCCUACCAAGGCGACGAUGCGUAGCCGACCUGAGAGGGUGAUCGGCCACACUGGGACUGAGACACGGCCCAGACUCCUACGGGAGGCAGCAGUAGGGAAUCUUCCACAAUGGACGAAAGUCUGAUGGAGCAACGCCGCGUGAGUGAAGAAGGUUUUCGGAUCGUAAAACUCUGUUGUAAGGGAAGAACACGUACGAGAGUAACUGCUCGUACCUUGACGGUACCUUAUUAGAAAGCCACGGCUAACUACGUGCCAGCAGCCG
RNAcentral lists this ribosomal RNA (509 nucleotides) under uncultured bacterium. RNAcentral describes it as "bacterial SSU rRNA". It matches the Rfam family "Bacterial small subunit ribosomal RNA", at positions 29 to 517 of the family's 1533-position model. The record is from RNAcentral.